CUGGGCUUGCCCCCAGUAUUUUUUUUUUAACCUCAGAAUAACCCCACAUUUUCUGUAAUUGGGUAGUUUGGGCCCCACUAAUCAUGUGAUAGGGAAGUUUUACUAUGUUAUCCAUGGGCCCAAGAUAUUAUGCUAUGUAUUUUCAAGUAAGCUAUAUUAUAAUUAUAUCCCACUGUAGAGCAAAUGGUUUUGCAACUACUAAGGCAGACCUGAAAAAAAAUGCCUUCAGGUAUCUGGGAAAGUGUAGAGAGGAUGGGUCCUGGGAAGGCCUCUGUAGAUGGACCACCCAAAAGCCAUACACAGUUCCUAGGUUAGCUCAUUUGUGCUGCUAUAGCAAAAUACCUGAGAAUGGCUAAUUUAUAAGGAACAGAAAUUAUUUCUGCCAGUUCUGGAGGUUGGGAAGUCCAAGAUUAAGGUGCCAGUAAGUUUAUAGUCUGGUGAGGGUUUGGUUUCUGCUUUUAAGGUGGUGCCUUGAACACCAUGUCCUCCAGCAGGGAGGAGCUCUAUGUCCUUACAUGGCAGGAGGUACAAGGGCAAGAGACCAAAUGCUCCAUGAAACUUCUUUUACAAGGGCUUCAAUCCCAUUCAUGAGAGCAGAACCUUCAUGGGCCAAUCACCUCUUAAAGGCCCCCCUCUUAAAAUUACAUUGGCAAUGUGAAGUUUGGAGGGAACAUUCAAACAAUAGUAGUCCCCUUUCCCAUUGCCUUUCUUUAUUAUAGAAAUCUGAAAAAGGCUGGACGUAGUGGCUUAUGCCUUUAAUUCCACCACUUUCGGAGGCCAAGGUGGGAGUAUGACUUAAGCCCAAGAGUUUGAGACCAUCCUGGGCAACAUAGAGUCCCUUUCUCUAACAAAACUUUAAAAAAUUAACCAAGCAUGGUGGCACGCACCUGCAGUCCACCUAUUUGGGAAGCUGGCCGGGGGAGGAUCUUUUUUUUUUUUUUGAGAUGGAGUCUCACUCUGUCAUCCAGGCUAGAGUACAGUAGAGUACAGCAGCGUGAUCUCGGCUCACUGCAAGCUCCGCCUCCUGGGUUCACGCCAUUCUCCUGCCUCAGCCUCCUGAGUAGCUGGGACUACAGGCGUCCGCCACCAUGCCGGGCUAAUUUUUUUGUAUUUUUAGUAGAGACGGGAUUUCACCGUGUUAGCCAGGAUGGUCUUGAUCUCCUGAUGUCAUGAUGAAGGAUCAUUUUUGAGCCCAAGAGGUCGAGGAUGCAGUGAGCCGUGAUCACACCACUGCACUCUAGUCUGGGUGACACAGCCACACUCUUCUCAAAAAGAAAAAAAAAAUGGAAACUUGGAAGAAGAAGAAAACAAUCACCUUUCCAGAUUCCUUUGUAGAGAGACAGCCCAGAGACUCAGCUCUGCCUGGAGAGAUAUAACUGGCAGUGCCAGGUUGGGACUUCCAGGAAUGCUUUUCAAAAGGGAAAGAUCUGUCUGGCAUGCACCGUUUUUCCUUUGGAACAUUGAUAUGAUGCCUGGAAAGUCAGCAAUGAGUCCCGAAGAUAAAAGCCGCACACUAAGACUACUGAAGCAGAAAUAAAAGGCUGGAUCCUUAAUGAUGAUUUUAAGGGUGAGGAACCUGGGCACAGCAGGGAUGGCUUAUUUCUGUUCCACAAUACUCACCUUGUCCAGGGGCUGGAAUCAUGACAAAGUUGUCACUCUCAUAAC
RNAcentral lists this long non-coding RNA (1665 nucleotides) under Homo sapiens (human). RNAcentral describes it as "HSALNT0027833". Lineage: Eukaryota; Metazoa; Chordata; Mammalia; Primates; Hominidae. The record is from RNAcentral.